UCCCAAGCCUUCUGGCGAUCUCUUAAAAUAAAGCCUUAGUCUGUUUUCAACAAACAGAACGUUUAGACAUAUGUUUAAAUUCUUAUGUUCAGAGUUGGCGAUCCCAAGCCUUCUGGCGAUCUCUUAUAAAGAAAGCCCUCCAUAAUAAAUUGAAAAGGGUCCUUUGGGGAAAAGUUUUCCCUUUGCUAAGAUGAAGCCGGGGAAGGUUUUCCGGUUUAUCCCGGAGGGCUUGUAGCUCAGUUGGUUAGAGCGCGCGCUUGAUAAGCGUGAGGUCGGAGGUUCAAGUCCUCCCAGGCCCACCAAUCAUUCUAUCAAUCUAUAAGCGCUUGUGGAAAUUGCUCAUAGAAAACUUUCUUUAUUCAUUUAUGAAAAAUCUCCUUAUAGAGAGAGACGCUUUUCCCUUUGGGUUUGAAAACUCAAAAUUAAAGGUGUUAAAGUGGCUUUAAAGGAAAAGUGACAAAGGAUAAGGAAUAAUGAUUUAAGUUAUCCCUUUUUGGUGAUCUUGAUUUGGGUGUUUUGAAUGCGUUAUGUUUUUUAGGGGGGGCCGUAGCUCAGCUGGGAGAGCACCUGCUUUGCAAGCAGGGGCCGGCUCGUGUACGUUGAUGAAUAUUCUUGAGGCUGAUUUGAGAAAGCAUUAUUUAGGGGCCGUAGCUCAGCUGGGAGAGCACCUGCUUUGCAAGCAGG
Molecule: unclassified non-coding RNA, 684 nt
Filed under: uncultured Bartonella sp.
Lineage: Bacteria; Pseudomonadati; Pseudomonadota; Alphaproteobacteria; Hyphomicrobiales; Bartonellaceae
Description: partial 16S-23S ribosomal RNA intergenic spacer
Rfam family: tRNA (bases 226-299)
Source: RNAcentral